CUUCAAGCUUCCAGGGAGUGGGUCUGACAUUGUCCGGGGCUCACAUUUGGCCCAUGGAGCUCUUUCCUUUCCCACGGGGCUGGGUACAGCUUGUGAGUUUGUGAUACUCUGUGUCUUGGGACAGAUUGCUCUCUCUCUCUCUCUGCUCAUUUUUUUCUUCACCGGUAAAGCCAGUGGGCUAAAAAUAAACUCGUGCAUUUCAAUUUUUUUAUUAAGUAAUGAAAUCUUAGGCAAUAGCCUGAUAUGUCAGACAGGUAAAAGUAGUUCUGCUCUAGGUAGCUAAUAAGGACCUGCUGUGUAGCACAAGGAACUCUACUCAGUACUCUAUAACGGCCUAUAUGGGAAAAGAAUCUAAAAAAAAAAAGGACAUAUGUUUAUAUACAACUGAUUCACUUUGCUGUACACCUAAAACCAACACAACACUGUAAAUCAACUAUACUCCAAUAAUUUUUUUUUUAAUGUAGUUCUGCUCUGGUUGAAGGCAGAAAUGGACUGGGAAUCUGGAGAUCUGCCCUUUUGGCUUUCUUUCUGUCUCCUUAAGGCUCCUCUAUGAAACUCCCAUAGAAGCCUGUGUGAACGUCACUGGUGUGGAAAGUCUCGAAGAUUCAUUACAAGAAGCUGCUGUCUGAGAACUGAAGCCAGGAGUGGGGAGAGAUGACCUACUGGAUCAACCCCAGAAGAGAGAUGGCUCUGUCAUUCACUGAGAAAGGAGAUAAAGAACAGGGAUGAAGCAGAGGAAGAAGAAGGAGAGGAGGAUGAGGAAGGCCAUGAGGAGAAGGGAAAUCUCUGAUCUAUAAUUUUAGCCACAUUUUCAGUCACUUGAAGAAGUCAGGGUCUUGGCACUUAUUCUCCCCUUGCCUGGAACACUCCUUCCCCAGCCCUUCUCACUGACUCAUCAUUCAUUUUUUCCCCAAAAUUGACCUCCUCCAAAGGCCUACCCUGACCACCCUAUCAGUAAAUAAUUCUCCCAUUACCUUCUCAAGUCA
Bubalus bubalis (water buffalo) is the source of this 986-nucleotide long non-coding RNA. RefSeq lists it as uncharacterized. The record is from RefSeq and is a predicted model, not a curated record. Lineage: Eukaryota; Metazoa; Chordata; Mammalia; Artiodactyla; Bovidae. The transcript has 2 exons.